Odontomachus brunneus is the source of this 467-nucleotide long non-coding RNA. RefSeq lists it as uncharacterized. The transcript has 3 exons. NCBI's taxonomy places the organism in Eukaryota, Metazoa, Arthropoda, Insecta, Hymenoptera, Formicidae. The record is from RefSeq and is a predicted model, not a curated record.
AAUCGAUAAUCGCCGGAAGAUCGUAGAUGCCAAACUCGUGAUAACUGAAACACACGACAGAAUCAAUGUAAAGAAGGUGCAAAAACCUCGCGUUUUUAUUAGCUCAAUUUUAGUCGAAUUUAAGUUUUUAUAAAAUUUUCUUUAAUCAAUUGUUAAAUUUCAGAUUCUUUUGAGAGAGCUAAAUAUCUGUCGCAAUACGAAUGCUGUAUCUAACUCAACGCUACCUAAAGUUCCAGAAAGUUCGAUCUGACGGCGACAGCGAGGUGUGAUUUUUGGAAUAAAUGUUGCCUCUGUUAUUUCCAAGCCACACGUCGUAACCAGCGUCAGCUAAUACACCUAUAUAAGCGUACCUAAAGACUUGCCGGGACCCAUAAGGACCCAACCGGCGGAGCUUCCUCCCAUACCGUGCAUCAAAAGUAUCGGCGCUUUUAUCCUAGAAUUCGCUUUGUUGUCAUUUCGGGGACGCG